ACUCAAAUGAAUUGACGGGGGCCCGCACAAGCAGCGGAGCGUGUGGUUUAAUUCGAUGCAACGCGAAACACCUUACCUGGGUUGGACGUGUGCGUAGUAGUGAAGCGAAAGCAGAACGACCCUUCGGGGAGCGCAUGCAGGUGCUGCAUGGCUGUCGUCAGCUCGUGUCGUGAGAUGUUGGGUUAAGUCCCGCAACGAGCGCAACCCUUGUCGCUAGUUACACGUGUCUAGCGAGACUGUCGGUCUAAAACCGGAGGAAGGUGGGGAUGACGUCAAGUCAGCAUGGCCUUUAUAUCCAGGGCGACACACACGCUACAAUGGCCGGUACAAUGGGCAGCCAAAGGGUGACCUGGAGCGAAUCCCAGCAAAGCCGGUCGUAGUUCAGAUUGUAGGCUGCAACCCGCCUCCAUGAAGCUGGAGUUGCUAGUAAACGCCGGUCAGCAUUACGGCGUUGAAUACGUUCCCGGGCCUUGCACACACCGCCCGU
Molecule: ribosomal RNA, 487 nt
Filed under: uncultured bacterium
Lineage: Bacteria
Description: partial 16S ribosomal RNA
Rfam family: Bacterial small subunit ribosomal RNA
Source: RNAcentral